AGGCCGACGAUGAUCUUGUAUGGAAUCGACAACAUCAGAGAUCUCUUUGGACCAAAGGUUGAUUUCAAUGUUAUAAAGAACGGGCCUAUAUGCAGAUUGGGGCUGCAGUAAAUCACCACAACAUCCAAUACAAUCCUUUUACCAUUUAGUAUCAGUGGGCUGGUGUUUUGUUUCCUUUUCAUUUUUGUUUGUUCUGAUACAAAAGAUGUUUUUCAAAGACAUUGUUAUGCUACAUGUUUGCUAAUAAAGACUACAUAUAUAGUGCAAUAUAGGGUGAAAGAGAUGAUAUUUGGGUUCAUAAAUUAGUUACAAUGGCCCAAAGAUUGAAAUCA
Zingiber officinale is the source of this 332-nucleotide long non-coding RNA. RefSeq lists it as uncharacterized. The transcript is spliced from 2 exons. The record is from RefSeq and is a predicted model, not a curated record. NCBI's taxonomy places the organism in Eukaryota, Viridiplantae, Streptophyta, Magnoliopsida, Zingiberales, Zingiberaceae.